CACGUAGACACCAAGCGUUGUCCGGAUUUAUUGGGCGUAAAGAGCUCGUAGGCGGUUCAGUAAGUCGGGUGUGAAAACUUUGGGCUUAACCCAAAGCGUGCAUCCGAUACUGCUGUGACUUGAGUUCGGUAGGGGAGUGGGGAAUUCCUAGUGUAGCGGUGAAAUGCGCAGAUAUUAGGAGGAACACCGGUGGCGAAGGCGCCACUCUGGGCCGAAACUGACGCUGAGGAGCGAAAGCAUGGGGAGCAAACGGG
Molecule: ribosomal RNA, 254 nt
Filed under: uncultured bacterium
Lineage: Bacteria
Description: partial 16S ribosomal RNA
Rfam family: Bacterial small subunit ribosomal RNA
Source: RNAcentral